CGUAUGGCGACCGGGCGCACGGGUGAGUAACGCGUAUGCAACCUGCCCGAUACCGGGGUAUAGCCCAUGGAAACGUGGAUUAACACCCCAUAGUACUUUUAUCCUGCCUGGGAUGGGAGUUAAAUGUUCAAGGCAUCGGAUGGGCAUGCGUCCUAUUAGUUAGUUGGCGGGGUAACAGCCCACCAAGACGAUGAUAGGUAGGGGUUCUGAGAGGAAGGUCCCCCACAUUGGAACUGAGACACGGUCCAA
Molecule: ribosomal RNA, 249 nt
Filed under: uncultured bacterium
Lineage: Bacteria
Description: partial 16S ribosomal RNA
Rfam family: Bacterial small subunit ribosomal RNA
Source: RNAcentral